UAUUUGAAUCAUCACUGCGGUCAACUCGAUGAACAAAGCACGCCAGUGCUUCGAGGUGCACGGUACUUUCAGGUUGAUUAAGUUGGGAUGCUAAUUUAUGAGGUCUGUCUCAAGAUAGCGAUAUCUUGAGAGGAGGCAGAAACUGCCAACAAAAACGUGUAUCGCAGAAGUAUUCGCAUCAAAAAGUUUGGAGCUUCCGGGUGCAGCAAUAGACGCUCACUGUGUGAGAAUAACCCUAAGGGGUGUUGGUGUGGCAACCAACAUGACGGAGGGAAGCCAAGAAUGCACAUUGCCUUGAGACGGAGAAAUCCGUGUAUAACGGAAGCUAGCAGAAAAAGUAGCCGAAUGGCAGUUACUACUCUACAACCAUUUCUGAAUGGUCGGUGAAUUUGCAGGCAAUCAAUCCUGUACAGGCAAGGGCGCAAGCUGGGGCUAGAAGUUUACGGCCGACGGGCCGUAGGCUCAGACUAGUCUUCCUGUUGACUGAAUAUUGGUGAAGAAUAUCUAUGUACGGCGAAGGCCGGGCCGCAGUCAUGAUUCAAG
Molecule: non-coding RNA, 543 nt
Submitted as: unclassified sequences
Source: Rfam